This 266-nucleotide ribosomal RNA is filed under the name uncultured bacterium. RNAcentral describes it as "partial 16S ribosomal RNA". It matches the Rfam family "Bacterial small subunit ribosomal RNA", at positions 793 to 1055 of the family's 1533-position model. The record is from RNAcentral.
GUCCACGCCGUAAACGAUGGGUGCUAGGUGUGGGGGUGUCGACUCCCUCCGUGCCGAAGACUAACGCAUUAAGCACCCCGCCUGGGGAGGUACGGCCGCAAGGCUAAAACUACAAAGGAAUUGACGGGGGCCCGGCACAAGCAGCGGAGCAUGUGGUUUAAUUCGACGCAACGCGAAGAACCUUACCUGGGCUUGACAUGCACGGGAAUGUCGUAGAAAUACGGCAGCCUUUCGGGGCUCGUGUACAGGUGUUGCAUGGCUGUCGU